AUGGGCAAGGGGAAGCAGCGCGUCCGCGCCCGCGGCGACGGCGCCGGAGGAGAGCCUGCCGGGGAAGGCGAAGCUGCCGGCGGGGGCCACACCCCCUCCACCGUCUUCGUCUCCAACCUGCCGUACACCUACAAGUCCUCCGAUCUCGAGACGGUGUUCAGCGAGGUCGGGCCGGUGAGGCGCUGCUUCAUGGUCGCGUCGAAAGGGUCCGAGACGAGUAAAGGAUUUGGGUUUGUACAAUUUGCCACUGUUCAGGAUGCUGAGCGAGCUAUUCAACAAAAGAAUGGUUUUGCUGUUGCUGGUAGGAAAAUCAGAGUUAAGCUCGCAAUACAACGUGCUCCGUUGAAGGAACGUUUGCAAAAGAAAGAGAGCGUGCAAGCUGACGACUCCAAUGCAAAAGAUGAAGAAGAUGACAAUUCUACUCCUGUUCCUGUAAAACAUAAGGAGACCUCUCAUAAAGCUGAUGCAGGACCACCACAGUUAUUGGCCAAGGAUACCAAAGUAGCGAAGGAAGUUAGCAUUAAUGCUACUGAUAAAGCGAAAAGUUCUGAAAAGCAAAGGAUCGCCAAAACCGUUAUAUUUGGUGGUCUUCAAGACUUCUCCAUGGCUAGUGAAGUUUUCCGUCUGGCAGGAGAGAUUGGCACGGUAGUGUCUGUAAAUUAUCCACUUCCAAAAGAGGAAAUGGAGCUCCAUGGGCUUGCACGCGAUGGGUGCACAUCGGAUGCGGCAGCAGUACUCUUUUCAAGUGUGAAAUCAGCUUGGGAGGCUGUUGUCCUCUUGCAUCACAAGGAGAUAAAAGGAGCAAUUGUUUGGGCUCGUCAACUUGGUGGGGAGGGUUCAAAGAUCAGGAAACGGAGAGUGAUAGUCAGGAACCUGCCAUUCAAGGUUACUAUAAAGGAGAUCAUGGACAUAUUUAGUUGUGAAGGAUUUGUCUGGGAUGUCUCCAUUCCACAAAAAUCUGAUGAUGGGAAAUCAAAAGGCUUUGCUUUUCUGUCUUUCACACGCAAACAGGAUGCAGAAAAUGCUAUAAAAAAUGUUAACGGAAAAGUUAUUGCAAAGAGAACAGUAGCUGUUGAUUGGGCUGUUCCGAAGAAUGUAUAUGCUGUUGCUGCAAAGUCUGAUGCUAAGGACGAUGAGUUGGAAGAUAUAUCUGACAAGGGCAGUGACGAGGAAUCCUCUGAAGAUAAUCUUGUUGGAGGAGAUGACAGCGAUGAUGACUGUGAACUUGAUCAGGAGACUUCAAAUUGUCUUCCUGAGGAUGAUUUCAAAAGUGAAGCGGACAUUUCUAGAAAAGUUCUUGCAAAUUUGAUCAAGUCAUCGGAGAAGUCUGAGCGGUCUGGUGUUGAGAGUUCUGAUAUUGAUACAGAUUCUGAAACAGAAAAUGACACACCAGAAAAGAGUUCUGAUAUUGAUACAGAUUCUGAAACAGAAAAUGACACACCGAAAAAGAAGCAACCCCAGUCACCUGCAGCUGUCAAGUUGGCAGAAUCUAAAGAUGUAACAAAGGCAGAAAGUAUCAUUCCUGCUUUGAAACCUGCAGCUGCCAUGUUGGCAGAAUCUAAACAUGUAGCAGAGACAGAAAGCAAUGUUCCUUCUUUGAAACCUAAGAAAGAAGAUGCUGGCCUGGAUAGGACAAUAUUCAUAAGCAACCUUCCUUUCGAUAUUAGCAAUGAGGAGGUAACAGAGCGGUUCUCAGUGUUUGGGAAGGUUCAAUCUUUCUUCCCAGUUCUGCAUAAACUCACAAAGAGACCUAGAGGGACUGGUUUUCUCAAGUUUUCUACAGCAGAGGCAGCCGAUGCAGCAGUUUCUGCUGCUAAUGCUGCUCCUGGAUUAGGAAUUUUUGUAAAAAGCAGACCACUUAAUGUUAAGAAAGCGCUGGAUAAGGAGUCAGCUCACAAAAAGGAACUGGAGAAGGGAAAGAAUGAGGUUGAGGAUCGACGCAACCUGUAUUUGUCAAAGGAAGGUGAAAUACUCCCUGGAACGCCAGCUGCGGAAGGUGUAUCAGAUGUUGACAUGAAUAAACGUAGUUGGUUGGCUAAAAGAAAAGCAGAAAUGCUUGUAUCUCCAAAAUUCCAUGUCUCCAGAACAAGGCUUAUCAUUUACAAUUUGCCAAAGACUCUGACCAUUAAUGAUGUAAAGAAGCUUUGCCGAGAAGCAGUAAUUUCUCGUGCUACCAAGCAAAAUCCUGUCAUCCGGAAGGUAAAUAUCCUAAACAAUGAAAAGAAAGGUCAGGGUGCUGCACAGAAGCAUUCCCGAGGGGUAGCCUUUGUUGACUUUCAAGAACAUGAGCAUGCUCUUGUAGCUCUGAGGGUUCUAAACAACAACCCUGGAACCUUCGGUACAGAACGUCGUCCAAUUGUUGAGUUUGCACUUGAGGAUGUUGAAAAAAUGAGGCUCCAGAAGAUUCGAAACGAACGCAAUGGUAGGGCAAAAGAGGCUGCACAAGAGCGUAGGGCUCUGGGAGAUCAGUCUACAACUGAUGGCCCUCGUCCAAAAAAGAAGAGACCUUUUGGAAAAGGGAGCAAGCGAGAAUCGCAAGAUAUACCAUUUAAAUUAUCCGACUCUGGCAAAGGACCUUCAGAUGAUCUGUCAGUUCCUGGAGGUCCUAACACCACUGUGGAAAGCACACAGGGAGACAAAAGGCAAUCUCAAAGGCCCGCAAAACGAGCACGGCAGUCAGUUAAGGGAACCUCCUCUGUGUCAGAUGGAAAUCGAACAGAUGCAGCCCCAAAUGCUGCACCGAGUGGACCAUCCACAGCACACACUCAGGCGGACGCACGGAGAAAAAGGAGGAACAGAAAUGAUAGUGAGCAGAAGAGAGAUAAGGCUACGAAAAGGGCGAGGAAAGAUGCAAGUGGGGUGGGCGGCGUGGACAAGUCGCUGGCGGAGCAGUACCGCUCCAAGUUUCUGCAGCACGGCGUGAACAAAACCAAGGCUAGUUAA
RNAcentral lists this ribosomal RNA (2943 nucleotides) under Triticum aestivum (bread wheat). Its description in RNAcentral is "partial small subunit ribosomal RNA". Lineage: Eukaryota; Viridiplantae; Streptophyta; Magnoliopsida; Poales; Poaceae. The record is from RNAcentral.